Long non-coding RNA from Mus caroli (Ryukyu mouse), 178 nucleotides. RefSeq lists it as uncharacterized. Lineage: Eukaryota; Metazoa; Chordata; Mammalia; Rodentia; Muridae. The record is from RefSeq and is a predicted model, not a curated record.
GGAUGCUGGGAAUUGAACCCAGGUUUUCUGGAAGAGCAGUUAUUAUAAAUGAUGCUAUCAUGAAGAAAGAAAAGCGCAUUUUCACCCUGUGUUUUGUGGAGAUAAAACCAGUUCUGUCCAGCCAUCCUUCUGUAUGCAGGAAACACAGGGACAAAAAAACGGAGCAGAGACUGAAGGA